This 73-nucleotide transfer RNA is filed under the name Rhizoclosmatium globosum. RNAcentral describes it as "tRNA-OTHER". The record is from RNAcentral. Lineage: Eukaryota; Fungi; Chytridiomycota; Chytridiomycetes; Chytridiales; Chytriomycetaceae.
GCUCGGUUGGCUCAGCUGGCAGUAGCGUGGGGCUGGUUAACCUCAAGGUCACUGGUUCGAUCCCAAUCGAGCG